RNAcentral lists this long non-coding RNA (454 nucleotides) under Hordeum vulgare. Its description in RNAcentral is "long non-coding RNA (HVUL_LNC015608)". Lineage: Eukaryota; Viridiplantae; Streptophyta; Magnoliopsida; Poales; Poaceae. The record is from RNAcentral.
GGCCGUUCUGUCACUCGAAGCCACAACAGGCCUUGCUGCCCCUAGGCGCCGGUUGCGGCGGUGGUUACGACGCCGACGGGCAAGUAGCGGCCACCCAACAUCGAGCCCCCGGGGCGCGCGUAGCGGGUGCUGACCAUGGAGCCUGUGAAGCCGAGGCAAAUCUGGAACGGGAGAGCGGCUACACACCCCUACCUAGCGUGCCAAAUGUCGAAAUCAAGGCUCCGCGGGCCGGAGGAAAGGUUCGAACACUAGGGUGCACUCGCUCUUCUACCCUGUUCUACCUCACGACUUCACGACGACUCUACGGUAGCGCGAGCUAAGGCGACGAGCUAGAACACGCGGGAGUUUACCCAGGUUCGAGCCACCUCAUGGUGUAAAUGCCUACUCUGGCUUCUGUUGGGAUUGCGUGAGGUGCAAGACACGUACAAAGGUGGGUUCUGGCCCUAGCCCGAGG